GCUUGCUUCUUUGCCGGCGACCGGCGCACGGUGAGUAACACGUAUCCAACCUGCCCUUACUCGGGGAUAGCCUUUCGAAAGAAAGAUUAAUACCCGAUGGCAUAAUGAUUCCGCAUGGUUUCAUUAUUAAAGGAUUCCGGUAAAGGAUGGGGAUGCGUUCCAUUAGGUUGUUGGUGAGGUAACGGCCCACCAAGCCUUCGAUGGAUAGGGGUUCUGAGAGGAAGGUCCCCCACAUUGGAACUGAGACACGGUCCAAACUCCUACGGGAGGCAGCAUG
RNAcentral lists this ribosomal RNA (277 nucleotides) under uncultured bacterium. RNAcentral's name for it is "partial 16S ribosomal RNA". It matches the Rfam family "Bacterial small subunit ribosomal RNA", at positions 69 to 353 of the family's 1533-position model. The record is from RNAcentral.